UGCUUGAGUAGUAUUAGGUAUGUUCUUGAAACUUAAAGAAUUUGGCGGUAUCUUAUUCCGUUCAGAGGAAUCUGUCUCGUUAUCGAUAGUCCGCGUUGGACCUUACUUGGUUGCUAUGGUUUGUAUACCGCCGUUUAUUGGUUAUGCUUUUAGGGUCUAUUAAUUUUCUGGUUUCUCUAUUUUGAUUUAUUUCAGGUCAAGGUGCAGCUUGUUUCUAAGUGUUAUUGAUGGAUUACAUUGUUUUUUGUUUUUUGGAUUGCUGGUUGAAUUAAUUGGUAUGAAAUUGGAUUUGAUUGUAAUGUCUUGAAGAUUGUUUUCGUGAUAUUGGUUCUAAGAUAUG
RNAcentral lists this ribosomal RNA (340 nucleotides) under Coptotermes acinaciformis. RNAcentral's name for it is "partial 12S ribosomal RNA". Lineage: Eukaryota; Metazoa; Arthropoda; Insecta; Blattodea; Rhinotermitidae. The record is from RNAcentral.